GGGCCCUUUAACUCUAUUCUGGUCCCAAGCCAUCCUACCCCAAUUAUAUUUAUUCAUUUAUUUAUUUAUUUAUUUAUUUUUUGAGACAGGGUCUCACUAUGUAGUUCAGGCUGGCCUUAAACUCACUAUGGAGCCCAGGCUGGCUUCAAACUCAUAAUGAACCUCCUGCCUCAGCCUCCUGAGUGCUGGGAUUACAGGUGUGAGCCAACAUGUCCUGCCCACCCCAAUGUAAGCAGCCGACAGACUCUAGACUAGAUUCUCCCACCUUCUCACGUGAUUGACUUUCUCUCAGAGUUGGAGGUAGGACAUUUCUCGCAUUCACAGGGUCGGCUGCAGAGCCUCAGCUCUCUCUGCCCCGGGGCUGGAUGGAGGAGGGCCGACCUCGGAGCAGCCUCAGCCUGGCCAGCAGCGCCUCCACCUCUCUUCGCUCAGCACCCUGAGCGCCAAGAAGCCGGCCCGGGCAGUAAACAAGGUCCACACCUUUGGGGAAGAGGAGCAAUGCGCUCCGAAGGGACCCCAACCUGCCUGUACACAUCCGAGGCUGGCUUCACAAGCAGG
Molecule: long non-coding RNA, 558 nt
Filed under: Heterocephalus glaber (naked mole-rat)
Lineage: Eukaryota; Metazoa; Chordata; Mammalia; Rodentia; Bathyergidae
Description: lncRNA (ENSHGLG00000036272.1)
Source: RNAcentral